Molecule: non-coding RNA, 71 nt
Organism: Nicotiana tabacum (common tobacco)
Lineage: Eukaryota; Viridiplantae; Streptophyta; Magnoliopsida; Solanales; Solanaceae
Source: Rfam
GCACUUGUGGUCUAGUACUAGAAUAGUAUCCUGCCACGGUACAUACCCGGGUUCAAUUCCCGGCUGGUGCA